Molecule: ribosomal RNA, 134 nt
Filed under: uncultured bacterium
Lineage: Bacteria
Description: partial 16S ribosomal RNA
Rfam family: Bacterial small subunit ribosomal RNA
Source: RNAcentral
UUCCAGGCCCUACGGGGGGCAGCAGUGAGGGAUUUUCGGCAAUGGGCGAAAGCCUGACCGAGCGACGCCGCGUGAGCGAAGAAGGCCUUCGGGUCGUAAAGCUCUGUCUAGGGGGACGAGGAAGGACGGUACCC